AAAACAUGCAAGUCGAGCGGACGGAUGGGAGCUUGCUCCCUGAAGUCAGCGGCGGACGGGUGAGUAACACGUGGGCAACCUGCCUGUAAGACUGGGAUAACUCCGGGAAACCGGGGCUAAUACCGGAUAACUCUUUUCCUCACAUGAGGAAAAGCUGAAAGAUGGUUUCGGCUAUCACUUACAGAUGGGCCCGCGGCGCAUUAGCUAGUUGGUGAGGUAACGGCUCACCAAGGCCACGAUGCGUAGCCGACCUGAGAGGGUGAUCGGCCACACUGGGACUGAGACACGGCCCAGACUCCUACGGGAGGCAGCAGUAGGGAAUCUUCCGCAAUGGACGAAAGUCUGACGGAGCAACGCCGCGUGAGUGAUGAAGGUUUUCGGAUCGUAAAACUCUGUUGUCAGGGAAGAACAAGUACCGGAGUAACUGCCGGUACCUUGACGGUACCUGACCAGAAAGCCACGGCUAACUACGUGCCAGCAGCCGCGGUAAUACGUAGGUGGCAAGCGUUGUCCGGAAUUAUUGGGCGUAAAGCGCGCGCAGGCGGUUCCUUAAGUCUGAUGUGAAAGCCCCCGGCUCAACCGGGGAGGGUCAUUGGAAACUGGGGAACUUGAGUGCAGAAGAGAAGAGUGGAAUUCCACGUGUAGCGGUGAAAUGCGUAGAGAUGUGGAGGAACACCAGUGGCGAAAGGCGACUCUUUGGUCUGUAACUGACGCUGAGGCGCGAAAAGCGUGGGGAGCAAACCGGAUUAGAUACCGCGGGUAGUCCACGCCGUAAACAAUGAGUGCUAAGUGUUAGAAGGGUUUCCGCCCUUUAGUGCUGCAGCAUACGCCAUUAAGCACUCCCGCCUGGGGGAGUACGGGCCGCAGGGCUGAAACUCAAAGGAAUUGGACGGGGGGCCCGCACAAAGCUGUGGAACCAAGGUGGUUUUAAUUUCAAAACCACCGCGAAAAAACCUUACCGGGGCUUGGAAUCCCCCGCAAACCCUGGAAUU
Molecule: ribosomal RNA, 992 nt
Filed under: Cytobacillus firmus
Lineage: Bacteria; Bacillati; Bacillota; Bacilli; Caryophanales; Bacillaceae
Description: bacterial SSU rRNA
Rfam family: Bacterial small subunit ribosomal RNA
Source: RNAcentral